Molecule: ribosomal RNA, 519 nt
Filed under: Ozodiceromyia costalis
Lineage: Eukaryota; Metazoa; Arthropoda; Insecta; Diptera; Therevidae
Description: partial 16S ribosomal RNA
Rfam family: Bacterial large subunit ribosomal RNA
Source: RNAcentral
ACAUGUCCUUUAGAGUUUAAUUUAAGGUCUAGCCUGCCCACUGAGAAGUUUUAAAUGGCCGCAGUAUUUUAACUGUGCAAAGGUAGCAUAAUCAUUAGUCUUUUAAUUGAAGGCUUGUAUGAAUGGUUGGACGAAAUAUUAACUGUUUCAUAAAAAUUAAUCUAGAAUUUUAUUUUUUAGUCAAAAAGCUAAAAUAAUUUUAAAAGACGAGAAGACCCUAUAGAUCUUUAUAUUUUGUAUAUUAUAAUUAUUUAGAUUAUUUGAGUUAUGAUUAUAUAAAAUAUUUUGUUGGGGUGACAUUAAAAUUUAAUUAACUUUUAAUUAAUAUUUACAUUAAUUUAUGAAUAUUUGAUCCAUUAAUAAUGAUUAAAAAAUUAAGUUACCUUAGGGAUAACAGCGUAAUUUUUUUGAAGAGUUCAUAUCGAUAAAAAAGAUUGCGACCUCGAUGUUGGAUUAAGAUAUAAUUUUGGGUGCAGCAAUUCAAUUAUUAAGUCUGUUCGACUUUUAAUUUCUUACAUG